UAGAAAAGAGACAGCAUGAUCACCUC
RNAcentral lists this non-coding RNA (26 nucleotides) under Mus musculus (house mouse). Lineage: Eukaryota; Metazoa; Chordata; Mammalia; Rodentia; Muridae. The record is from RNAcentral.